AGUGAACGCUGGCGGUAGGCCUAACACAUGCAAGUCGAACGGCAGCACAGUAAGAGCUUGCUCUUACGGGUGGCGAGUGGCGGACGGGUGCGGAAUACAUCGGAAUCUACUUUUUCGUGGGGGAUAACGUAGGGAAACUUACGCUAAUACCGCAUACGACCUACGGGUGAAAGCAGGGGAUCUUCGGCCCUUGCGCGAUUGAAUGAGCCGAUGUCGGAUUAGCUAGUUGGCGGGGUAAAGGCCCACCAAGGCGACGAUCCGUAGCUGGUCUGAGAGGAUGAUCAGCCACACUGGAACUGAGACACGGUCCAGACUCCUACGGGAGGCAGCAGUGGGGAAUAUUGGACAAUGGGCGCAAGCCUGAUCCAGCCAUACCGCGUGUGUGAAGAAGGCCUUCGGGUUGUAAAGCCCUUUUGUUGGGAAAGAAAAGCAGCAGGUUAAUACCCCGCUGUUCUGACGGUACCCAAAGAAUAAGCACCGGCUAACUUCGUG
This 492-nucleotide ribosomal RNA is filed under the name uncultured bacterium. RNAcentral's name for it is "partial 16S ribosomal RNA". It matches the Rfam family "Bacterial small subunit ribosomal RNA", at positions 29 to 507 of the family's 1533-position model. The record is from RNAcentral.